This 955-nucleotide ribosomal RNA is filed under the name uncultured Campylobacterota bacterium. RNAcentral's name for it is "bacterial SSU rRNA". It matches the Rfam family "Bacterial small subunit ribosomal RNA", at positions 494 to 1447 of the family's 1533-position model. Lineage: Bacteria; Pseudomonadati; Campylobacterota. The record is from RNAcentral.
CGGCUAACUCCGUGCCAGCAGCCGCGGUAAUACGGAGGGUGCAAGCGUUACUCGGAAUCACUGGGCGUAAAGCGCGCGCAGGCGNUCUUUUAAGUUGGAUGUGAAAGCCUACGGCUCAACCGUAGAACUGCAUCCAAAACUAUUAGACUAGAGUGUGGGAGAGGAAGAUGGAAUUAGUUGUGUAGGGGUAAAAUCCGUAGAGAUAACUAGGAAUACCAAAAGCGAAGGCAAUCUUCUGGGGCACUACUGACGCUGAGGCGCGAAAGCGUGGGGAGCAAACAGGAUUAGAUACCCUGGUAGUCCACGCAGUAAACGAUGAAUGUUAGUCGUCGGGGGCCUAGUGUCUUCGGUGAUGCGGCUAACGCAUUAAACAUUCCGCCUGGGGAGUACGGUCGCAAGAUUAAAACUCAAAGGAAUAGACGGGGACCCGCACAAGUGGUGGAGCAUGUGGUUUAGUUCGAAGAUACGCGAAGAACCUUACCUAGCCUUGACAUAUAUAAGAAUCUUUCAGAGAUGAGAGAGUGCCUUCGGGAGCUUUUAUACAGGUGCUGCACGGCUGUCGUCAGCUCGUGUCGUGAGAUGUUGGGUUAAGUCCCGCAACGAGCGCAACCCUCGUCACUAGUUACUAACGGUUCGGCCGAGGACUCUAGUGAGACUGCCUUCGCAAGGAGGAGGAAGGUGAGGACGACGUCAAGUCAUCAUGGCCCUUACGGCUAGGGCAACACACGCGCUACAAUGGCCAGGACAGUGAGACGCGAUACCGCGAGGUGGAGCAAAUCUAUAAACCUGGUCUCAGUUCGGAUUGUAGUCUGCAACUCGACUACAUGAAGCUGGAAUCACUAGUAAUCGUAGAUCAGCUAUGCUACGGUGAAUACGUUCCCGGGUCUUGCACACNNNNNCCGUCAAUCCCGCGGCCAUGGCGGCCGGGAGCAUGCGACGUCGGGCCCANUCGCCC